This 221-nucleotide unclassified non-coding RNA is filed under the name Hevea brasiliensis (rubber tree). Lineage: Eukaryota; Viridiplantae; Streptophyta; Magnoliopsida; Malpighiales; Euphorbiaceae. The record is from RNAcentral.
AUUGUUUUGCAAGCAUGGCCAUCUAAGCAUUGGUAUCCACCAACAAAAAAAUUAAAAAGUUAAUAGAAAAAUAUCACUUGGAUACGCAAUUUCGAAAUAUCCAUGACAUUUAAAGCAACAGUAACCAAUGCUGGGUUUUAUAUGCAGUCACAUCCACAAAUAUAAACGCUUUUUUCACAAAAAUGUUACCUCUAUUGUGAUUCUGUUUUUUAACUAAUAAA